Anneissia japonica is the source of this 376-nucleotide long non-coding RNA. RefSeq lists it as uncharacterized. The record is from RefSeq and is a predicted model, not a curated record. NCBI's taxonomy places the organism in Eukaryota, Metazoa, Echinodermata, Crinoidea, Comatulida, Comatulidae. The transcript has 3 exons.
AAAUAAGAGUCAUUCAUUUGAAGGCAUGAUACUUUAGAUAGCCAUUAAGGUAAUUAACAAUUAUGUUAAUGUCAUGAUGAUUGCAUUCAAAGUAAAGGCUCUAAUUUGCCAGGUGAAGAUCAAUCAUUUCAAAAGACAUCUACAUCAACAACGAAUCACAGAUGCAGACACACAAAGAGUAAUUCAAAUAAACUACCCAGUUACAGGCCACCUGAUUGGGCAAGCCACCUUCAAAAAUGAUUCCAUUAGUGAAAGUUAAGCUUUUUCAGCCAUUUACACCUAUUCAUAAAUGGAGUCUUCCAAAUAUACCAGAUGAUAUUGAUAUUUAUAUCAAGCGAGAUGACAUGACUGGAUCUGUUUUAUCAGGUAACAAGGU